GCCAGAAUAGCUCAGCGGCAGAGCAGCUCACUCGUAAUGAGCAGGUCGUGGGUUCAAUUCCCACUUCUGGCUCGA
This 75-nucleotide transfer RNA is filed under the name bacterium. RNAcentral's name for it is "tRNA-Thr". It matches the Rfam family "tRNA". Rfam says of the family: Transfer RNA (tRNA) molecules are approximately 80 nucleotides in length. Their secondary structure includes four short double-helical elements and three loops (D, anti-codon, and T loops). The record is from RNAcentral.